RNAcentral lists this ribosomal RNA (374 nucleotides) under uncultured organism. Its description in RNAcentral is "partial 16S ribosomal RNA". It matches the Rfam family "Bacterial small subunit ribosomal RNA", at positions 527 to 896 of the family's 1533-position model. The record is from RNAcentral.
GUAGGUGGCAAGCGUUGUCCGGAAUUAUUGGGGCGCAAAGCGCGCGCAGGCGGUUCUUUAAGUCUGAUGUGAAAGCCCACGGGCUCAACCGUGGAGGGUCAUUGGAAACUGGAGAACUUGAGUACAGAAGAGGAAAGCGGAAUUCCACGUGUAGCGGUGAAAUGCGUAGAGAUGUGGAGGAACACCAGUGGCGAAGGCGGCUUUCUGGUCUGUAACUGACGCUGAGGCGCGAAAGCGUGGGGAGCAAACAGGAUUAGAUACCCUGGUAGUCCACGCCGUAAACGAUGAGUGCUAAGUGUUAGGGGGGUUUCCGCCCCUUAGUGCUGCAGCUAACGCAUUAAGCACUCCGCCUGGGGAGUACGGCCGCAGGGCUG